RNAcentral lists this ribosomal RNA (484 nucleotides) under uncultured bacterium. RNAcentral's name for it is "partial 16S ribosomal RNA". It matches the Rfam family "Bacterial small subunit ribosomal RNA", at positions 30 to 507 of the family's 1533-position model. The record is from RNAcentral.
AUUGAACGCUGGCGGCAUGCUUUACACAUGCAAGUCGAACGGCAGCGCGGGCUUCGGCCUGGCGGCGAGUGGCGAACGGGUGAGUAAUACAUCGGAACGUGCCCAGUAGUGGGGGAUAGCUCGGCGAAAGCCGGAUUAAUACCGCAUACGACCUGAGGGUGAAAGCGGGAGAUCUUCGGACCUCGCGCUAUUUGAGCGGCCGAUGGCAGAUUAGCUAGUUGGUGGGGUAAAGGCCUACCAAGGCGACGAUCUGUAGCUGGUCUGAGAGGACGACCAGCCACACUGGGACUGAGACACGGCACAGACUCCUACGGGAGGCAGCAGUGGGGAAUUUUGGACAAUGGGCGAAAGCAUGAUCCAGCAAUGCCGCGUGUGUGAUGAAGGCCUUCGGGUUGUAAAGCACUUUUGGCGGGAACGAAAAGGACUGUGCCAAUACCACGGUUCGAUGACGGUACCCGCAGAAUAAGCACCGGCUAACUACGUG